GACGAACGCUGGCGGCGUGCUUAAUACAUGCAAGUCGAACGAAGUGGCGCACGGGUGAGUAACGCGUAAUAAACCUGCCCUUCAGAGGGGGACAAAAGUUGGAAACGACUGCUAAUAGCACAUACUGAAUUGGGGGAUUGCGUCUGUUUGGCUAGUUGGAGGGGAAACGGCCAACCAAGGCGAUGAUCAGUAGCCUGUCUGAGAGGAUGAGCGGCCACCUUGGGACUGAGACACGGCCCAGACUCCUACGGGAGGCAGCAGUGGGGAAUCUUCGGCAAUGGACGAAAGUCUGACGGAGCAACGCCGCGUGAGUGAUGACGGUCUUCGGGUUGUAAAGCUCUGUUAUUCGGGACGCGGUACCGGAAUAGAAAGCCACGGCUAACUACGUGCCAGCCGCCGCGGUAAUUC
RNAcentral lists this ribosomal RNA (408 nucleotides) under uncultured bacterium. Its description in RNAcentral is "partial 16S ribosomal RNA". It matches the Rfam family "Bacterial small subunit ribosomal RNA", at positions 28 to 526 of the family's 1533-position model. The record is from RNAcentral.